GACGAACGCUGGCGGCGUGCUUAACACAUGCAAGUCGAACGGAAAGGCCCUGCUUUUGUGGGGUGCUCAAGUGGCGAACGGGUGAGUAACACGUGAGUAACCUGCCCUUGACUUUGGGAUAACUUCAGGAAACUGGGGCUAAUACCGGAUAGGAGCUCCUGCUGCAUGGUGGGGGUUGGAAAGUUUCGGCGGUUGGGGAUGGACUCGCGGCUUAUCAGCUUGUUGGUGGGGUAGUGGCUUACCAAGGCCUUGACGGGUAGCCGGCCUGAGAGGGUGACCGGCCACAUUGGGACUGAGAUACGGCCCAGACUCCUACGGGAGGCAGCAGUGGGGAAUAUUGCACAAUGGGCGGAAGCCUGAUGCAGCAACGCCGCGUGCGGGAUGACGGCCUUCGGGUUGUAAACCGCUUUCGCCUGUGACGAAGCGUGAGUGACGGUAAUGGGUAAAGAAGCACCGGCUAACUACGU
Molecule: ribosomal RNA, 467 nt
Filed under: uncultured bacterium
Lineage: Bacteria
Description: partial 16S ribosomal RNA
Rfam family: Bacterial small subunit ribosomal RNA
Source: RNAcentral